This 488-nucleotide ribosomal RNA is filed under the name uncultured bacterium. RNAcentral describes it as "partial 16S ribosomal RNA". It matches the Rfam family "Bacterial small subunit ribosomal RNA", at positions 28 to 507 of the family's 1533-position model. The record is from RNAcentral.
GAUGAACGCUGGCGGCGUGCUUAACACAUGCAAGUCGAACGGAAAGGCCCUGCUUUUGCGGGGUGCUCGAUUGGCGAACGGGUGAGUAACACGUGAGUAACCUGCACUUGACUUUGGGAUAACUUCAGGAAACUGGGGCUAAUACCGGAUAGGAGCUCCUGCUGCACGGUGGGGGUUGGAAAGUUUCGGCUGUGGGGGAUGGACUUGCGGCGUCUCAGCUUGUUGGUGAGGUAGUGGAUUACCAAGGCUUGCACGGGUAGCCGGCCUGAGAGGGUGAGCAGCCGCACUGGGAGUGAGACACGGUACAGACGCCUACGGAAGGGAGCAGGAGGGAUUCUGGCGGAAUGGGCGGAAGCUUGAGCGAGAAAGGCCGAGGGAGUGAGGAAGGACGUCGGGUGGUAGAUGACGGUUAUCGGGGAGGAAACAAUGUUCGCGUAUGUCGACGCGUGUUGAAGGGAAAUGGGGAAAAAGGCACCGGUAACUUAGUG